Molecule: ribosomal RNA, 301 nt
Filed under: uncultured bacterium
Lineage: Bacteria
Description: partial 16S ribosomal RNA
Rfam family: Bacterial small subunit ribosomal RNA
Source: RNAcentral
CAGUCGCCGCGGUAAUACGUAGGGUGCGAGCGUUAAUCGGAAUUACUGGGCGUAAAGCGUGCGCAGGCGGUUAUAUAAGACAGAUGUGAAAUCCCCGGGCUCAACCUGGGACCUGCAUUUGUGACUGUAUAGCUAGUGUACGGUAGAGGGGGAUGGAAUUCCGCGUGUAGCAGUGAAAUGCGUAGAUAUGCGGAGGAACACCGAUGGCGAAGGCAAUCCCCUGGACCUGUACUGACGCUCAUGCACGAAAGCGUGGGGAGCAAACAGGAUUAGAGACCCCUGUAGUCCCUGUCUCUUAUAC